RNAcentral lists this long non-coding RNA (521 nucleotides) under Setaria italica (foxtail millet). RNAcentral's name for it is "long non-coding RNA (SITA_LNC003595)". The record is from RNAcentral. Lineage: Eukaryota; Viridiplantae; Streptophyta; Magnoliopsida; Poales; Poaceae.
CUCGCCGGACUUCUUGAUGUCGGAGCUGGCGGUGGGGUCGAUCGCGAGCGCGGAGGCGGAUACGGUGGCCUUGAUGACGGUGAUGUUGCCGGCCUCGUGCGCGAACCCGGGCACGGAGGCCUCCCCGAGCGGGACGGCGUUGGCGGCGGUGGCGGCCGUGACGGUGAAGUCGUCGUAGAAGUAGACGAGCUUCUUGUUGGGGUUCUUGGCGGUGAGCGUGACGUCGAUGGCGUCGGUGAGCGCGGGCGCCGUGGCGGAGGAGGAGAGGCUCAGCUUGGUGACGUGCGCCACGGAGAGCGUGAAGGCCGGGCGGUGCGGGCGGUAGAGGAGGUAGAAGGCACCACCCACCACGGCGGCGAUGAAGGCGAGGAGGAGGAUGACGAGGACCGUCCAGAAGAAGCAGCAGCAGCAGCUGAACGGGCAGGAGCGGCCGCCGCGGCGGCGCUUGGCGCCCCCCUGCUGUGGGCGGUAGAUUGGCCGCUGGUACAUCUUGGGCGGCCCGCCGGUGCCGUUUCCGGCGG